This 67-nucleotide transfer RNA is filed under the name Loxodonta africana (African savanna elephant). It matches the Rfam family "tRNA". Rfam says of the family: Transfer RNA (tRNA) molecules are approximately 80 nucleotides in length. Lineage: Eukaryota; Metazoa; Chordata; Mammalia; Proboscidea; Elephantidae. The record is from Rfam by way of RNAcentral.
GGCUGGUUAGCUCAGUUGGUUAGAGCGUGGUGCUAAUAACGCUAAGGUUCAAUCCCCGUACGGGCCA